CAGAGUUCAUGCCCUCACGGGUAGAUCUCCCACCCUUGAAAAUAUUACCUUUGUUGCUUUGGCGGGUCGCUUUAGCUACCGGCUCCGGCUGGUAUGUGCCCGCCAGAGGACCCAACUCUUGUUUUUAGUGAUGUCUGAGUACUAUAUAAUAGUUA
This 155-nucleotide unclassified non-coding RNA is filed under the name uncultured Hyaloscypha. RNAcentral describes it as "sequence contains ITS1". Lineage: Eukaryota; Fungi; Ascomycota; Leotiomycetes; Helotiales; Hyaloscyphaceae. The record is from RNAcentral.